Molecule: unclassified non-coding RNA, 277 nt
Filed under: chlamydia-associated clinical sample 194-T
Lineage: Bacteria
Description: intergenic spacer region
Source: RNAcentral
CGACAUCAGCUGCUCCAUAAGUUCCCACACGAAUUAACUGACGACAUCAGCUGCUCCAUAAGUUCCCACACGAAUUGCUUGAUUCAUUGAAGAAGACGAAAGAAGCAGCCCGAAAUUGGGUCUGUAGCUCAGUUGGUUAGAGCGCACCCCUGAUAAGGUGGUAACGGAUCAGGCUAAGGUAAAAUUUGUGAGUUCUCUUAACUGAGAAAUUCGAAUUUUCGGCGAAUGUCGUCUUCACAGUAUAACCAGAUUGCUUGGGGUUAUAUGGUCAAGUGAA